UACAGAGGUCUCAAGCGUUGUUCGGAUUCAUUGGGCGUAAAGGGUGCGUAGGUGGCGCGCUAAGUCAGGUGUGAAAUUUCGGAGCUUAACUCCGAAACUGCAUUUGAUACUGGCGUGCUUGAGGACUGGAGAGGAGACUGGAAUUCAUGGUGUAGCAGUGAAAUGCGUAGAGAUCAUGAGGAAGACCAGUGGCGAAGGCGGGUCUCUGGACAGUUCCUGACACUGAGGCGCGAAAGCGUGGGGAGCAAACAGG
This 253-nucleotide ribosomal RNA is filed under the name uncultured bacterium. Its description in RNAcentral is "partial 16S ribosomal RNA". It matches the Rfam family "Bacterial small subunit ribosomal RNA", at positions 524 to 776 of the family's 1533-position model. The record is from RNAcentral.